Molecule: microRNA precursor, 90 nt
Filed under: Paramuricea clavata
Lineage: Eukaryota; Metazoa; Cnidaria; Anthozoa; Malacalcyonacea; Plexauridae
Source: RNAcentral
AACCAUCUAUUCUAUUAACUAUGUUGUAAACCACUGUUCAUUAGAACAGUGGUUUACAACAUAGUUAAUAGAAUAGAUGGUUUGGAAACG